This 487-nucleotide ribosomal RNA is filed under the name uncultured microorganism. Its description in RNAcentral is "bacterial SSU rRNA". It matches the Rfam family "Bacterial small subunit ribosomal RNA", at positions 9 to 488 of the family's 1533-position model. The record is from RNAcentral.
GAGUUUGAUCAUGGCUCAGGAUGAACGCCGGCGGUGUGCCUAAUACAUGCAAGUCGUACGCACUGGCCCAACUGAUUGAUGGUGCUUGCACCUGAUCGACGAUGGAUCACCAGUGAGUGGCGGACGGGUGAGUAACACGUAGGUAACCUGCCCUGUACAGGGGAUAACAAUCAGAAAUGACUGCUAAUACCGCAUAAGACCACAGCACCGCAUGGUGCAGGGGUAAAAACUCCGGUGGUACAGGAUGGACCCGCGUCUGAUUAGCUGGUUGGUGAGGUAACGGCUCACCAAGGCGACGAUCAGUAGCCGGCUUGAGAGAGUGAACGGCCACAUUGGGACUGAGACACGGCCCAAACUCCUACGGGAGGCAGCAGUGGGGAAUAUUGCACAAUGGGGAAACCCUGAUGCAGCAACGCCGCGUGAGUGAGAAGUAUUUCGGUAUGUAAAGCUCUAUCAGCAGGAAGAAAGUGACGGUACCUGACUAAGA